This 596-nucleotide ribosomal RNA is filed under the name Staphylococcus aureus. Its description in RNAcentral is "partial 23S ribosomal RNA". It matches the Rfam family "Bacterial large subunit ribosomal RNA", at positions 1286 to 1878 of the family's 2925-position model. Lineage: Bacteria; Bacillati; Bacillota; Bacilli; Caryophanales; Staphylococcaceae. The record is from RNAcentral.
AAGUGAGAAUGCCGGUGUGAGUAGCGAAAGACGGGUGAGAAUCCCGUCCACCGAUUGACUAAGGUUUCCAGAGGAAGGCUCGUCCGCUCUGGGUUAGUCGGGUCCUAAGCUGAGGCCGACAGGCGUAGGCGAUGGAUAACAGGUUGAUAUUCCUGUACCACCUAUAAUCGUUUUAAUCGAUGGGGGGACGCAGUAGGAUAGGCGAAGCGUGCGAUUGGAUUGCACGUCUAAGCAGUAAGGCUGAGUAUUAGGCAAAUCCGGUACUCGUUAAGGCUGAGCUGUGAUGGGGAGAAGACAUUGUGUCUUCGAGUCGUUGAUUUCACACUGCCGAGAAAAGCCUCUAGAUAGAAAAUAGGUGCCCGUACCGCAAACCGACACAGGUAGUCAAGAUGAGAAUUCUAAGGUGAGCGAGCGAACUCUCGUUAAGGAACUCGGCAAAAUGACCCCGUAACUUCGGGAGAAGGGGUGCUCUUUAGGGUUAACGCCCAGAAGAGCCGCAGUGAAUAGGCCCAAGCGACUGUUUAUCAAAAACACAGGUCUCUGCUAAACCGUAAGGUGAUGUAUAGGGGCUGACGCCUGCCCGGUGCUGGAAGGUU